CCUGGAAACAGAUGCUAAUACCGGAUAACAACAGAUGAUGCCUAUCAACUGUUUAAAAGAUGGUUCUGCUAUCACUCUUGGAUGGACCUGCGGUGCAUUAGCUAGUUGGUAGGGUAACGGCCUACCAAGGCGAUGAUGCAUAGCCGAGUUGAGAGACUGAUCGGCCACAUUGGGACUGAGACACGGCCCAAACUCCUACGGGAGGCAGCAGCU
RNAcentral lists this ribosomal RNA (213 nucleotides) under uncultured Lactobacillus sp. RNAcentral's name for it is "partial 16S ribosomal RNA". It matches the Rfam family "Bacterial small subunit ribosomal RNA", at positions 149 to 355 of the family's 1533-position model. The record is from RNAcentral. Lineage: Bacteria; Bacillati; Bacillota; Bacilli; Lactobacillales; Lactobacillaceae.